CUUGGUCAUUUAGAGGAAGUAAAAGUCGUAACAAGGUUUCCGUAGGUGAACCUGCGGAAGGAUCAUUACCGAGUUCAGGCGCGAGCCCACUCCCACCCGUGUGUUUCUACCCUGUUGCUUUGGCGGGCCCCUCUCGGGGCGCGCCAGAGGACCCCAAACUCUCUAACACUGUCGUCCGAGUACUGUAAAUAGUUAAAACUUUCAACAACGGAUCUCUUGGUUCUGGCAUCGAUGAAGAACGCAGCGAAAUGCGAUAAGUAAUGUGAAUUGCAGAAUUCAGUGAAUCAUCGAAUCUUUGAACGCACAUUGCGCCCCUUGGUAUUCCGGGGGGCAUGCCUGUUCGAGCGUUACCUCACCCCUCAAGCGUCGCUUGGUGUUGAGCCCCGGUCAGCGAUGGCCGGCUCCAAAAUCAGCGGCGGCGCCGCGGGGCCCUGAACGUAGUAAACCUCUCGUUACAGGUGCUCGGCGCGCGCCCGCCUCAACCACACUUUCAUGAUUGACCUCGGAUCAGGUAGGGAUACCCGCUGAACUUAAGCAUAUCAAUAAGCGGAGG
RNAcentral lists this ribosomal RNA (553 nucleotides) under uncultured fungus. RNAcentral's name for it is "eukaryotic LSU rRNA". The stretch from base 197 to 350 matches the Rfam family "5.8S ribosomal RNA". Lineage: Eukaryota; Fungi. The record is from RNAcentral.